Long non-coding RNA from Aphis gossypii (cotton aphid), 8066 nucleotides. RefSeq lists it as uncharacterized. NCBI's taxonomy places the organism in Eukaryota, Metazoa, Arthropoda, Insecta, Hemiptera, Aphididae. The transcript has 27 exons. The record is from RefSeq and is a predicted model, not a curated record.
GUUUUUAUUUUGAUAAUAAAAAUUAUUUAUUCAUCUCACACAUUUGAAAAAUUUCCAUCAGAAUAUGAUAUUACUUCCAACAAAAUCUAAAAUAUUAAUAAAUCAACUAAUAACCACAGACUUUUAAAAAUUGCUAAAUCAUAAUUUAAAACUUAAUCAUAUAUUAUUCCUUUGCAUUUUUUGUUAAGGUAUUACUAUUCAACACGGAAUUUUCCUCAAAGAGUUGAAGCCUUUGCCAUUUAAAUCAGAAAACAAUGGAAAAAAGAGAUGGUAUUGCAUCAUACAUAUUAUAAUGAUAUAAGACUAUAAAAAAAAAUUGAAAAUCCUCUGUAUAAAUUUUAUUAAAUAUAUUACAAUACAACACGGAAUUUUCCUCAAAGAAUUCAAUUCUUUGUCAUUUCAAUCAGAAAACCAUGGAAAAAAGAGAUGGUAUUACUAUUCAACACGGAAUUUUCCUCAAAGAGUUGAAGCCUUUGCCAUUUAAAUCAGAAAACAAUGGAAAAAAGAGAUGGUAUUGCAUCAUACAUAUUAUAAUGAUAUAAGACUAUAAAAAAAAAUUGAAAAUCCUCUGUAUAAAUUUUAUUAAAUAUUUUACAAUACAACACGGAAUUUUCCUCAAAGAAUUCAAUUUUUGUCAUUUCAAUCAGAAAACCAUGGAAAAAAGAGAUGGUAGUGCAUCAUACAAAUUAUAUUGAUAGAAGACUUUAAAAAAGUGAAAAUGCUUUGUAUACAUUUUCUUAUGUGCAAGUAUUACUAUUCAACACGGAAUUUUCCUCAAAGAGUUGAAGCCUUUGCCAUUUAAAUCAGAAAACAAUGGAAAAAAGAGAUGAUUUUACAAUACAACACGGAAUUUUCCUCAAAGAAUUCAAUUCUUUGUCAUUUCAAUCAGAAAACCAUGGAAAAAGAGAUGGUAGUGCAUCAUACAAAUUAUAUUGAUAGAAGACUUUAAAAAAGUGAAAAUGCUUUGUGUACAUUUUCUUAUGUGUAUUACUAUUCAACACGGAAUUUUCCUCAAAGAGUUGAAGCCUUUGCCAUUUAAAUCAGAAAACAAUGGAAAAAAGAGAUGGUAUUGCAUCAUACAUAUUAUAAUGAUAUAAGACUAUAAAAAAAAAUUGAAAAUCCUCUGUAUAAAUUUUAUUAAAUAUUUUACAAUACAACACGGAAUUUUCCUCAAAGAAUUCAAUUCUUUGUCAUUUCAAUCAGAAAACCAUGGAAAAAAGAGAUGGUAGUGCAUCAUACAAAUUAUAUUGAUAGAAGACUUUAAAAAAUUGAAAAUGCUUUGUAUACAUUUUCUUAUGUGCAAGUAUUACUAUUCAACACGGAAUUUUCCUCAAAGAGUUGAAGCCUUUGCCAUUUAAAUCAGAAAACAAUGGAAAAAAGAGAUGAUAUUACAAUACAACACGGAAUUUUCCUCAAAGAAUUCAAUUCUUUGUCAUUUCAAUCAGAAAACCAUGGAAAAAAGAGAUGGUAUUACUAUUCAACACGGAAUUUUCCUCAAAGAGUUGAAGCCUUUGCCAUUUAAAUCAGAAAACAAUGGAAAAAAGAGAUGGUAUUGCAUCAUACAUAUUAUAAUGAUAUAAGACUAUAAAAAAAAAUUGAAAAUCCUCUGUAUAAAUUUUAUUAAAUAUUUUACAAUACAACACGGAAUUUUCCUCAAAGAAUUCAAUUCUUUGUCAUUUCAAUCAGAAAACCAUGGAAAAAAGAGAUGGUAGUGCAUCAUACAAAUUAUAUUGAUAGAGGACUUUAAAAAAGUGAAAAUGCUUUGUGUACAUUUUCUUAUGUGUAUUACUAUUCAACACGGAAUUUUCCUCAAAGAGUUGAAGCCUUUGCCAUUUAAAUCAGAAAACAAUGGAAAAAAGAGAUGGUAUUGCAUCAUACAUAUUAUAAUGAUAUAAGACUAUAAAAAAAAAUUGAAAAUCCUCUGUAUAAAUUUUAUUAAAUAUAUUACAAUACAACACAGAAUAUUCCUCAAAGAAUUCAAUUCUUUGUCAUUUCAAUCAGAAAACCAUGGAAAAAAGAGAUGGUAGUGCAUCAUACAAAUUAUAUUGAUAGAAGACUUUAAAAAAUUGAAAAUGCUUUGUAUACAUUUUCUUAUGUGCAAGUAUUACUAUUCAACACGGAAUUUUCCUCAAAGAGUUGAAGCCUUUGCCAUUUAAAUCAGAAAACAAUGGAAAAAAGAGAUGGUAUUGCAUCAUACAUAUUAUAAUGAUAUAAGACUAUAAAAAAAAAUUGAAAAUCCUCUGUAUAAAUUUUAUUAAAUAUAUUACAAUACAACACGGAAUUUUCCUCAAAGAAUUCAAUUCUUUGUCAUUUCAAUCAGAAAACCAUGGAAAAAAGAGAUGGUAGUGCAUCAUACAAAUUAUAUUGAUAGAAGACUUUAAAAAAUUGAAAAUGCUUUGUAUACAUUUUCUUAUGUGCAAGUAUUACUAUUCAACACGGAAUUUUCCUCAAAGAGUUGAAGCCUUUGCCAUUUAAAUCAGAAAACAAUGGAAAAAAGAGAUGGUAUUGCAUCAUACAUAUUAUAAUGAUAUAAGACUAUAAAAAAAAAUUGAAAAUCCUCUGUAUAAAUUUUAUUAAAUAUAUUACAAUACAACACAGAAUAUUCCUCAAAGAAUUCAAUUCUUUGUCAUUUCAAUCAGAAAACCAUGGAAAAAAGAGAUGGUAGUGCAUCAUACAAAUUAUAUUGAUAGAAGACUUUAAAAAAUUGAAAAUGCUUUGUAUACAUUUUCUUAUGUGCAAGUAUUACUAUUCAACACGGAAUUUUCCUCAAAGAGUUGAAGCCUUUGCCAUUUAAAUCAGAAAACAAUGGAAAAAAGAGAUGGUAUUGCAUCAUACAUAUUAUAAUGAUAUAAGACUAUAAAAAAAAAUUGAAAAUCCUCUGUAUAAAUUUUAUUAAAUAUUUUACAAUACAACACAGAAUUUUCCUCAAAGAAUUCAAUUCUUUGUCAUUUCAAUCAGAAAACCAUGGAAAAAAGAGAUGGUAGUGCAUCAUACAAAUUAUAUUGAUAGAAGACUUUAAAAAAUUGAAAAUGCUUUGUAUACAUUUUCUUAUGUGUAUUACUAUUCAACACGGAAUUUUCCUCAAAGAGUUGAAGCCUUUGCCAUUUAAAUCAGAAAACAAUGGAAAAAAGAGAUGGUAUUGCAUCAUACAUAUUAUAAUGAUAUAAGACUAUAAAAAAAAAUUGAAAAUCCUCUGUAUAAAUUUUAUUAAAUAUUUUACAAUACAACACGGAAUUUUCCUCAAAGAAUUCAAUUCUUUGUCAUUUCAAACAGAAAACAAUGGAAUAAAGAGAUGGUAUUGCAUCAAACAAAUUAUAAUGAUAUAAGAUUUUAAAAAGAUUGAAAAUACUCUGUAUAAAUUUUCUUUUGUGUAUUACUAUUCAACACGGAAUUUUCCUCAAAGAAUUGAAGCUUUUGCAUUUAAAUCAGAAAACAAUGGAAAAAAGAGAUGGUAUUGCAUCACAUGAAGUAUAUUGAAAUGAGUCUUUGAAAAAUUGAAAAUCCUUUGUAUAAAUUGUAUUAUGUAGACAGAAAAGACAACACGAAAAACAGUGAAGCGGUAGCGGUAUACUAAACAAGAGACGAAAAUCUUUACGUACGUACGUAUAGUAGUUAGAAUAAUAAUAAGGGUGUUGGCCGUUAAAUAAUAACAAUAAUAAUGAUAAAAUGAUAUAAAACUAAUGACAAUAAACAUAUGUGGCAUAAGGCCGACCAAUAUUUUUUCCUUAGAAAAUAGUAUAACACAAAGAGAAUAAAUAACAUGAAUAUUAUAAAAUUUCACAAUUACUUUGCCAAAGUGGUGGAUGGUGAGGAAGAAAGGUAAUUAAAACUGUGUUGUCGUAGCUCAGACCAUCGUCCCGCGAUAACACAUUGCUUAGCGCGAACAGGUGUAGUACGAUCCAUUAAAUUUGCGAAUCAUAUAAAUUUUAACAGCAAUUAAACAUAUGAAGACACGAUUUUGCAAAAUUUAACACUCACGCAUAAUUAUAUUAUUUCCCUUACGGUAACUACUAGAAAUGCGGGACGAUGGUGUUGCCAACACAACGACGGAUAGAGUGGCUACAAUGUGUGUCGGCAUCCAGUGAUUUCGCUUAUUGCUUCCAUUUGUAUCUUGUUUAUUGUUGAGCAUGAACUAAAUAACAUUUCACUGACGUCGCGUUUCCUCAUCACAGGCAUCGCACCGUUCUCUUGAUUACCAAAUUAUACACACAUAUCAGAAAAAAUAGAAUAAUUCUUUUGUUUGCUAUAAAUUAAAAAUAUAAUUUUGUAUCUAUAGUAAACUAUAUACAUUUUAAACGUACAUUAUAACAACGAAAUAAUAAAUAGGUUAAGUAGUAUAUACCUGUUGUAAAUUCUGAGGAAAUAUUGUGUUUCGUAGCAAAGUUUAAAAAUAAAUUCCAAGUUUUAGAAAAUUCUGAAAAACUUCUCAUUUGAUAAAAUGUUUUGAUCGCGCUAUUUAUUGUACUUAAUUAUAAAAUUUUUUUAUUUUCAUUUAUUAUAUUUAAUUUAUUAAAGAAUGAGAGAAUAUUUCCAUCCUUUUUAUUUUUACCACUCAUGGCCCAAGUAAUUUUAUUUUAAUUUUUAAUUAAAUGUUUUAAUGGUUUAUAAAAUAAAAUCACAGUCACAGAAAAGUUACAAUAAUUAUUAAUUAUACAAAAUUUUUUCAUGAAUACACAACUACACCAAUAGAGUAUCACACAAAUGUGAAGCAUACGUACUGCAUUUAUCGUAAAAACAUUAUAGACGAUCGAUUUCAAAAAAUAGAAUUGGGAAAACAACAGUCCAUAACGAUCGAUUAUACAAAUACAAUAAAUGGCAUUAAUGCAUCAUGUGGGUAUCUAUUAUAUUUAUCGCGGAAAUAUUAAAAUAUACAGCCUUAAUAUAUUACUAUACGUAUUACAUAGGCAACUUUGUGUGAAAAGUUAAAUCGAUUCCAAACUACGUGUACAGUAAUAUUUUUGAAUAUUUUAAUUAUGGUUAUUUUUUAAUUUGUAAUUUUUAUAUAAAUACAUGUAAAAAAAAAUGUACACUUAUCAAUUUAAAAAUUAUUGAUUUUUCAAUAGUUUACGGGACACCAAUAAAUUUGGGGGGGCUAAGGGAGCUUAGCCCCCCUGCGAUUUGCGCCUAUGCUGCUGUAGAAUUCUGCCUACUGUAAAAUACUUCAUGCGACAUAGCUAACCUACUAGCUAAACCCACAUUACAUAUUUUUAAACGAAAACAACAAAUAUAUUGUGUUAAUUAAUUCUUAAUUGAUGUUGAAAUAAAAUUAUUUUUGUUUAUUGAGAUCUCAAUCUUUGUUUGAGUUGACAUAAUUGAUUAUAGUGUAAUUUAACUUUUAUGUAUUUUUGUAUGAUAAAUUUAACAAUUUUUAAUAAAUGAUUGUUUAGUGGCGAUUGUGAUAAAAAUAACUAUUUUGGAAUGAUGUGCGUUUAAGCCAUCAUAUCUUUUUUAAAUUUAAAGUAUAUAAGAAAUAAUUAUAAUAAUUAUUAGCCAUUAAGAUUUUGUACACACACAUACACACACAUAUUGAUAUAUCAUAUUAUAAGAACUCUAGUCUGCCGUUCAGGUGGGCAAUUGCGUUAUCAUGGUGUCAUUGUACGGACGGUAAGAGACUACGCAGAUCGUCUGGACAGUAAGACAUAGUUAAUUAAUUAUAAACGUUUUUAAUAAUAAUUUAAUAUAUAUGUAUAUAUAUAUAUAUAUAUUAAUGUGUGUAAAAGAAAAGGGUUAAAUAAAAUUAACAAGUAGUGAUUCAAUCGUAUUUCUAACUAGCUUUAGCAUAUGAGUUGAGUCUAAAAAUAUACACACAUUUUCUUUUGUCACUAAGUGGAGAAACGAUGAAAUUUGAUUGUGUAGAUCUGCUCCUAAAUGUCUGGCCAUUGAAAUAUUGGAAGCAACUUUGAAAAAGUUAAAUAGUUUUUACAAUAGCUCAGAAUUCAUGAAUAUUAAUUAGAUAUGUCUCAAGGAGAUUGGCUUUUUCUUCAGCAGUUAAUCUAUUUAUUAAGAAGUAUGCAACAGGGAUUUUCCUAUGUGAAUUAAUGCAAUAAUUAAGAACACAAGAACUUUUGUAGCUUUUGAUAUUGCAUAAAAAAAAUGGUUAUAUUAAAUUUUCAAAGUGUUUUACCAAGCAAAAAAAUUUUUAUCAACAUUUAAUGAUUUUUACUUACUUGGGACAACAUUUCUUUUCAAUUACUUAGAUUGAAAUACACUCGUAGCUGUAACUUAGUAGUCUUAAUCAUUAUCAAAAUAUAGCCCACAUAGGGUACAAGUUUUUGCAAGCUUCAAUAAAUUAUUGAAUUAUUUUUUCAAGAAAUUUAAUUCAUUCCUUAGAAUUAUCACCUUUAGAAAGUCUAAACAUUUAGAAAAUUCUUUUUCAAAAUGUGUUUUUUAUUAUAAGAAAGUAACAAAAUAUAAAAACUUGUGAAACUUUAUUCCUUGGCCAGCUUUGAAGUUGAAUCCUUUCACUGAACAAGUUUUAACCAUUUUUUAUUCGAAAAAAAUAUCAAAUAAAAUUAAAAAAAAUAAAUAAAUAAAAAACACUUGAAAAUAGCAAAACAACAUAAAAAACACACGUAAACACAACUACUGAACUACACAAUUAGGUGCGUCUAAUGUCCGGCGGGGAGUCUCCAUUGUCCCUAUUUUUUAUUAAAAAAAAAAAUUUAAAUCUGGCACAAUAGUUUUUUUUUCAAAUAUUGGUCACACUGUAAUUAUUUUUUACUCCAUAUCGACGCCACGUAACACGUUUCUCUGUCUAAGCGCAGUCCAUUAGUUUAUAGGUCUAUAGUUAGUUAAUUAGUUAUUUUUUUAUAUUCUUUCUUAACACGUAAUUAAAGAAUUCUUUCUGUUAUAAUAAUAAAAUAACAUUAUUGUUUGCAAAUUUAACAGAGUAAAUGGCCUUUUUGUCAUCCUAACACAAAUAUAUAAAAAUUCUUCACUUUAAAAUCACAGACUCGUGAAACAACACCUGCCAUUGUUGUGAUAUCUUUGAACAUUGAAUCAACUAUUAUUCCAUCUCAUCGGAACUGAUAACUACAAUGGUAAACAAGUGCUCUUUGAAAACAUGCAAAAACCAAUAUUCAAGAAACCAUGUUAAACACCAUAGGUUUCCACUAAAAAAUAAAAAAACUUUGCAACAUUGGAUUUCUUUUACUGGUAGAAACGUAAGUUGGUCACCUACAAAGAGCAGCAGAUUAUGUAGUGAACAUUUUUUAAAGACAGAUUAUAUAGAAGAACAUGGGAAGUUUAAAUUAAAACCCACAGCUAUACCAACCAUAGAAAUUCUGACUAUAGGAUCUGAAGAUUGUCCUAAUGAAGAGGAGAUAAUCAUGGAUGGUAUUGAAGAUAGCAUGUAUGAGAUAAAUGUUUGUACUGUAGCAGAUACAUCGGAAAAUGUAUUGUACUAUUUUCAGAGCAUCACAGAUAUGGAUAAUAAGAUUGCUAAUUAAUUUUUUUUGUGAUAUGAUAUGAUGUUAUUAUUAUAACUUUGAGUAAUCCAAAUGUAUGCCAAAAUCCCAGUAUAAUUAUAAAAAUGAAUGACUAUUAUAAGUUAUAAGACUAGAAAUUGUAAUACAAAAAUUAUGACAUAAUAAGAUAUAAAUUACCUACUAGUAAUCGCAGAUAUAAUGGUUUCAUAUGCUUAUAUAGUUAUAUAACUUGGAAAUUUAAUGUAUUAUUUAUAUCUGUGGUUAGUAAACAACAAGGUGUAUUUAUCAGGAUAGGUGUCAAUACUCAGAUUAUCCAUUGAACAAAAAAUCUACACCAGUUGAAAACACCACUGGAAGAACUGAUUACCUUUUAAGACCUGAUAUUAUGCUUGUACUUUAUGCAAAAUAUAAAAUUUAAUAUCAUACAAGGUAAUUUAAAACAACCUGAACAAUAUUUAAAAUAAAACUGUAGUUCUAAAUAAAGAAUUGUUUUAAUGUUAAGUUUCAUACAUAAUAUAAUAAAUAAGAACUAGAAAAUUUUAAUUGUAUGCAUCACAGCUAACUGAUUUUUGUUUUAUACUAUUGUAGAUAUGGUACUAGUAUAUAGAUUUUUUUCUAUCACAGUAAAAAUGUAUUUUG